AGCGAACACUGGCGGCAGGCCUAACACAUGCAAGUCGAACGGAUCCUUCGGGAUUAGUGGCGGACGGGUGAGUAACACGUGGGAACGUGCCCUUUGGUUCGGAACAACUCAGGGAAACUUGAGCUAAUACCGGAUGUGCCCUUCGGGGGAAAGAUUUAUCGCCAUUGGAGCGGCCCGCGUCUGAUUAGCUAGUUGGUGAGGUAAAGGCUCACCAAGGCGACGAUCAGUAGCUGGUCUGAGAGGAUGAUCAGCCACAUUGGGACUGAGACACGGCCCAAACUCCUGCGGGAGGCAGCGGUGGGGAAUCUUGCGCAAUGGGCGAAAGCCUGACGCAGCCAUGCCGCGUGAAUGAUGAAGGUCUUAGGAUUGUAAAAUUCUUUCACCGGGGACGAUAAUGACGGUACCCGGAGAAGAAGCCCCGGCUAACUUCGUGCCAGCCGCCGCAGUAA
This 449-nucleotide ribosomal RNA is filed under the name uncultured bacterium. RNAcentral describes it as "partial 16S ribosomal RNA". It matches the Rfam family "Bacterial small subunit ribosomal RNA", at positions 29 to 523 of the family's 1533-position model. The record is from RNAcentral.